This 2225-nucleotide long non-coding RNA is filed under the name Papio anubis (olive baboon). Its description in RNAcentral is "lncRNA (ENSPANG00000043177.1)". Lineage: Eukaryota; Metazoa; Chordata; Mammalia; Primates; Cercopithecidae. The record is from RNAcentral.
CUAUAACAUUUGAUAAGAAGUUAAACCCUACUGAGCUAUAGAUACUUUUGUUUGCAUUACAGCAGUUGUGAUCUGCAGUUUUUUUGUUUGUUUGUUUGUUUUUUAAGACAGGGUCUCUCAAGCCAUCCUCCUGCCUCAGCCUCCCAAGUAGCUGGGAUUAUAGACAUGACCCACCAUGCCCGGCCUGCAAAAUCUUUAAGCAAACUUUUGUUGUAGCAAGCAAAAUAAUAUCCAGAGAAUUAGUUUAUUUUUGAUCCUGUGAUUCAGGAUUAAAAAAAAAAAAAUUUAAGGCCUGAGUGCAUGGCUCACACUUAAAAUCCCAGCAUUUUGGGAGGCUGAGGUGGGAGGAUAGUUUGAGCCCAGGAGUUGGAGUAACAUAGCAAGACCCUCGUAUCUACAAAAAAAAUUUUGUUUUUUAAUUAGCAGAAUGGGGCGUGACAGAGCAUACAGGUGGUCCUAGGUGCUUAGAUAGUUGAGGUGGAAGAAUUGCUUGAGCCUGGAAGAUCAAGGCUGCAGUGAGCUGUGAUCAUGCCAAUGCACUGCAGCCUCAGUGACACAGCGAGACCUUCUCUUAAAAAAAAAAAAAAAUUAGGCCGGGAUAGGGGGUGUGGCUCAUGCCUGUAACCCCAGCACUUUGGGAGGCUGAGGUGGGCGGAUCCCUGAGGUCAGCAGUUCGACACCAGCCUGACCAACAUGGAGAAACCCUGUCUCUACUAAAAUACAAAAUUAGCCGGGUGUGGUGGCACAUGCCUGUAGUCCCAGCUGUUUGGGAGGCUGAGGCAGAAGAAUCACUUGAACCUGGAAAGUCGAGGCUGCAGUGAGCUGUGAUUGUGCCACUGCACUCUUGCCUGGGCGAUGGAGCAAGAUCCUGCCAAAAAAAAAAAAAAAAAGAAACUGAAAAAGCUAACCAGUUAUUACAAUCUUCAUAAAAUUUCUGAAGGGCUCCAAGAGAUGAAAAGUGAAAAUUUAAUUUAUGACUAACUAUAAGUAACAUAUCAUUAAUAUAGACAUAUUGUGUCCAGGUUGUAUAUACAAAACAACGUAUAUUAUGCUUUAUGGGUAAUUUAGGUAAUUUUCAAGGAUGAAUUUUACUAUGUGAGAUUUUUGCCUUGCGCUGACUGUAGUACCUAACUCUCAGAGGAAGAUGAGAUUGCGGAGUUCCAAAAAUAUGUGUUAUCGUACAAUUUAGUAGAAACAGUUUCUUCUUUUUUUUUUUUUUUUAAGAAGGAGAAGCAAAUCUUUGGGCUGCAAAGAGUUACGUGAGUGGGCUUUUUGGUUAUGCAAAGUGGUAGGAGUGGCACACUCCUGAAUGGAUUCUUUUUUUUUUUUUUUUUUUCCAUUCCAGUUGCCCCUUCCUGAGGCUCAGGUAUACAAAGCUGAUCUCCGGGAAGAAGACGGAUUAUUUGUAUAACAAAGCUAGGAUAGCCGGGUGUGGUGGCUCACGCCUGUAAUCCCAGCACUUUGGGAGGCUGGGGGUGGGUGGAUCACCUGAGGUCAGGAGUUCCUGACCAACAUGGUGAAACCUAUCUCUACUAAAAAUGCACAAAUUAACCAGGUGCGUUAGCACACACCUGUAAUCCCAGCUACUCGGGAGGCUGAGGCAGGAGAACUGCUUGAACCUGGCGGGUGGAGGUUUUGGUGAGCCAAGAUUGAGCUAUUGCAUUCCAGCCUGAGCAACAAAAAAAAAAAAAAAAAAAAAAAAAAAAGAGAGAGAGCAGAAGAGAGAGAAAGCAAGCAAGCCAGGAUCUCCUGGGAGGGAGGAGACAGAAGUCCUCUUGGUGAACAUCUCCUCCUUGAUACUAGUAACUAGGGGGCUCUUUUUGGUUGACAGGGUACCUCCUAUUCUCCCAAGGUCUAAUGGUAAGAAAGGAUACCCAAGGACUGGAGAAGAAAAACAAAAACAAAACAACAACCAACUUCCCUGAGGAAGGGGAGUGUGGGUUGGCGACUCAGGCUCUGAAAAAGUUCCCAGCUUUUUCUUGAAACUGCAUGGCUUUGGACAGAAGCAUCGGCAUCAUUUGCGGAGCCUGCGGAGGGCCAUUUCUUCAUAGGAACACCUAUAUGUGGUUUAACGAGGAGCAAUGGCAGUGAAGAACACAAGGUGAGUGUGAGGAGGACUGGCCUCCUUUGGGAAGACUAAUUUAUUUUUAUUUUUAAUUUUUUUUAGGCAGAGUUUCAUUCUGUCACCCAGGCUGGAGUGCAGUGGUGUGAUCUCAGCUCACUGC